RNAcentral lists this long non-coding RNA (282 nucleotides) under Lathyrus oleraceus (garden pea). Its description in RNAcentral is "Pisum sativum (pea) long non-coding RNA (PSAT_LNC028207)". Lineage: Eukaryota; Viridiplantae; Streptophyta; Magnoliopsida; Fabales; Fabaceae. The record is from RNAcentral.
GUGAGAUAAAUCUAAGAUAUGGUUACAUGAGGGAAUUUGGAUGUGUGUAGAAGAGGUACAUGUUAAAAGAAGUAGGGAGGUGAGGAAAUGUAUGGAUGGUGGUAGAUAUUUAAUGUGAAUGAAGAGUUCCAUGAAGAAAAGAGAAACUCACUUUGUGCCUUUUUUUUCUCCCAUCCAUUUUUCUACUUUUUGUUUUUAUUUGAAAAUUAAGAGGCGUCAUUUGUGUGCAGUGGAUUGACUGAGUGUUUUUGUGUGUCCCUUAAUCAUUGGCCAUGUGUGUUA